RNAcentral lists this ribosomal RNA (465 nucleotides) under uncultured bacterium. RNAcentral's name for it is "partial 16S ribosomal RNA". It matches the Rfam family "Bacterial small subunit ribosomal RNA", at positions 28 to 507 of the family's 1533-position model. The record is from RNAcentral.
GACGAACGCUGGCGGCGUGCUUAACACAUGCAAGUCGAACGGAAAGGCCCCUUUGGGGGUACUCGAGUGGCGAACGGGUGAGUAACACGUGAGUAACCUGCCCUUGACUUCGGGAUAACUUCAGGAAACUGGGGCUAAUACCGGAUAGGAAUCCUUGCUGCAUGGUGGGGGUUGGAAAGCUUCGGCGGUUUUGGAUGGACUCGCGGCUUAUCAGCUUGUUGGUGGGGUAGUGGCUUACCAAGGCUUUGACGGGUAGCCGGCCUGAGAGGGCGACCGGCCACAUUGGGACUGAGAGACGGCCCAGACUCCGACGGGAGGCAGCAGUGGGGAAUAUUGCACAAGGGGCGGAAGCCUGAUGCAGCAACGCCGCGGGCGGGAUGACGGCCUUCGGUUUGUAAACCGCUUUCAGCAGGGGCGAAGCUUGUGGUGACGGUACCUGCAGAAGAAGCACCGGCUAACUACGUG